Long non-coding RNA from Thalassophryne amazonica, 151 nucleotides. RefSeq lists it as uncharacterized. The record is from RefSeq and is a predicted model, not a curated record. NCBI's taxonomy places the organism in Eukaryota, Metazoa, Chordata, Actinopteri, Batrachoidiformes, Batrachoididae. The transcript has 3 exons.
CUCUCGCCGGUGAGGGAAAUAUGUAAUGGCUCGCCAGCAAUUUGAGCACUGCAGGAAUAAACCGCUCCGUCCAGAGGCUUUUUAUCACACGAUGGAAAUUGAUUGGGUAAAAGAAUUCAGAUACCUCUUCCAGGCAAUCCUGCUGUUUCUG